UACGGGGGGGGCAAGCGUUGUUCGGAAUUAUUGGGCGUAAAGGGUUCGUAGGUGGCCGACUAAGUCAGACGUGAAAUCCCUCAGCUCAACUGGGGAACUGCGUCUGAGACUGGCCGGCUUGAGUGCAGGAGAGGAACGCGGAAUUCCAGGUGUAGCGGUGAAAUGCGUAGAUAUCUGGAGGAACACCGGUGGCGAAGGCGGCGUUCUGGACUGCUACUGACACUGAGGAACGAAAGCCAGGGGAGCAAACAGG
RNAcentral lists this ribosomal RNA (253 nucleotides) under uncultured bacterium. RNAcentral's name for it is "partial 16S ribosomal RNA". It matches the Rfam family "Bacterial small subunit ribosomal RNA", at positions 524 to 776 of the family's 1533-position model. The record is from RNAcentral.